This 416-nucleotide ribosomal RNA is filed under the name uncultured bacterium. RNAcentral describes it as "bacterial SSU rRNA". It matches the Rfam family "Bacterial small subunit ribosomal RNA", at positions 504 to 919 of the family's 1533-position model. The record is from RNAcentral.
AGUGUCAGCCGCCGCGGUAAUACGAAGGGGGCUAGCGUUGUUCGGAAUUACUGGGCGUAAAGGGCGCGUAGGCGGCUUCAACAGUCGGGCGUGAAAUGCCUGGGCUCAACCCGGGAACUGCGUUCGAAACUGCGAGGCUAGAGUGUGGGAGAGGUUGGUGGAAUUCCCAGUGUAGAGGUGAAAUUCGUAGAUAUUGGGAAGAACACCGGUGGCGAAGGCGGCCAACUGGACCACAACUGACGCUGAGGCGCGAAAGCGUGGGGAGCAAACAGGAUUAGAUACCCUGGUAGUCCACGCCGUAAACUAUGUGUGCUUGACGCUGGUGAGCCUAGCUCGCCGGUGUCGCAGCUAACGCGGUAAGCACACCGCCUGGGGAGUACGGUCGCAAGAUUAAAACUUAAAGGAAUUGGCGGGGG